CAGGUAAACCACAGAUAGAAACUGGAUUAUGAGGGACAUGCAGAGUGAUUCAAAAUUCCCUCAGGACAGCUCUUCAGGGAGCCAGUAUCAAAGGAGGAGCACUCAGGUGUCAUAUUGCACAAAUACAUGGGACAUAUGAAGACUUAUUCAUGACUAUGGCAUGUAAAGCAUAAGGAUCUUGCAGGAGGCCUGAAAAGCUAAACAUCAUGGAUAUCCUGUAAGAAGAAUGGAUGACAUGAAAAAAUCCACAGCUUCAAAUGGGAAAAAACCUUAAAUUUGAAAAUAGCUUCCAAGAACUACAGGUAAUGGUCUCUGUCUGUGUACUUAAAAUGGGCUUAGUAGUCUUCAUAUAUGAUGAUGAAAGCUACACCUA
Molecule: non-coding RNA, 373 nt
Organism: Lonchura striata (white-rumped munia)
Lineage: Eukaryota; Metazoa; Chordata; Aves; Passeriformes; Estrildidae
Source: RefSeq, a predicted model, not a curated record